UUUGUAAUUUCGAAAGUUGCAAGGAUUAGUUAAAGACUUAAUCGUAUUGUCAAAACUUUAUAAAGAAAACUACACUUUAUUUUAAGAAAUGAACAUUGUUUUUUCUGUAGUGCGGAUUGUUAGUGAAAUAAGUUUAAUACCCCCAAAACAUGGAAAUUGGAAUAGUAAGGCAUAGAUAACCAAAUGAGAUUGUAUGAAUACCUGUCAGUGACUUUUAUAUGUUAAUCACGAAUAACCUGAGUAGUAUUGCUGUGAAUAGUAUGGUUCACGAGAAAUUCAGAGUGCAUGAGAGUUUUAUGAUCUGGUCUUAUAUUGUAUUUUUG
Molecule: long non-coding RNA, 323 nt
Filed under: Mytilus galloprovincialis (Mediterranean mussel)
Lineage: Eukaryota; Metazoa; Mollusca; Bivalvia; Mytilida; Mytilidae
Source: RNAcentral